UACGUAGGGGGCUAGCGUUGUCCGGAAUCAUUGGGCGUAAAGAGCGCGUAGGCGGCCAGAUAAGUCCGGUGUGAAAGUCAAAGGCUCAACCUUUGAAUGCCGCUGGAAACUGUCUGGCUAGAGUCCGGGAGGGGCGAGUGGAAUUCCUGGUGUAGCGGUGAAAUGCGCAGAUAUCAGGAGGAACACCGAUAGCGAAGGCAGCUCGCUGGGACGGUACUGACGCUGAGGCGCGAAAGCGUGGGGAGCGAACAGG
This 253-nucleotide ribosomal RNA is filed under the name uncultured bacterium. Its description in RNAcentral is "partial 16S ribosomal RNA". It matches the Rfam family "Bacterial small subunit ribosomal RNA", at positions 524 to 776 of the family's 1533-position model. The record is from RNAcentral.